Molecule: ribosomal RNA, 460 nt
Filed under: uncultured bacterium
Lineage: Bacteria
Description: partial 16S ribosomal RNA
Rfam family: Bacterial small subunit ribosomal RNA
Source: RNAcentral
CCUACGUGAGGCAGCAGUGAGGAAUAUUGGUCAAUGGGCGGGAGCCUGAACCAGCCAAGUCGCGUGAGGGAAGACGGUCCUAUGGAUUGUAAACCUCUUUAGUCGGGGAGCAAUGCCGGGCACGCGUGCCCUGAGGGAGAGUACCCGCAGAAUAAGCAUCGGCUAACUCCGUGCCAGCAGCCGCGGUAAUACGGAGGAUGCGAGCGUUAUCCGGAUUUAUUGGGUUUAAAGGGUGCGUAGGCGGAUUUUUAAGUCAGCGGUAAAAUGUCCGGGCUCAACCCGGGCCGGCCGUUGAAACUGGGGAUCUUGAGUGGGCGAGAAGUAUGCGGAAUGCGUGGUGUAGCGGUGAAAGGCAUAGAUAUCACGCAGAACUCCGAUUGCGAAGGCAGCAUACCGGCGCCCGACUGACGCUGAGGCACGAAAGCGUGGGGAUCGAACAGGAUUAGAUACCCGUGUAGUC